Non-coding RNA from Pelobates cultripes (western spadefoot toad), 476 nucleotides. The record is from the annotation of a GenBank genome assembly. Lineage: Eukaryota; Metazoa; Chordata; Amphibia; Anura; Pelobatidae.
CACAGGUAGACAUCCACACACAGAGGAAGACAGGCACACACACACAGAGGAAGACAGGCACACACACACACAGGCAGACAGCCACACAAACACACACAGGCAGUCAGUCACACACAGACAGUCACACACACACAGGCAGACAGUCACACACAGGCAGACAGUCACACACAGGCAGACAGCCACAUAAACACACACACACAGACAACCACACACAUACACACAGACACGCACACACACACAGAUGCAGACAGCUAAACACACAGGAAGACAUACACACACACAGAGGCAGACAGUCACACACACAGACACAGGCAGACAGCCACACAAACACACACAGGCAGACAGUCACACACACAGGCAGACAGUCACACACACACACAGGCAGUCACACACACAGGCAGACAGUCACACACACAGGCAGACAGUCAUACACACAGGCAGACAGUCACACACACAGGCAGACAGUCAUACACACA